CGCAAGCUUGUGGAUGGCGAUGGU
This 24-nucleotide non-coding RNA is filed under the name Arabidopsis thaliana (thale cress). The record is from RNAcentral. Lineage: Eukaryota; Viridiplantae; Streptophyta; Magnoliopsida; Brassicales; Brassicaceae.